CGAGUGAAGCGGCAAAAGCUCAAAUUUGAAAUCUGGCACCUUCGGUGUCCGAGUUGUAAUUUGAAGAUUGUAACCUUGGGGUUGGCUCUUGUCUAUGUUUCUUGGAACAGGACGUCACAGAGGGUGAGAAUCCCGUGCGAUGAGAUGCCCAAUCCUAUGUAAGGUGCUUUCGAAGAGUCGAGUUGUUUGGGAAUGCAGCUCUAAGUGGGUGGUAAAUUCCAUCUAAAGCUAAAUAUUGGCGAGAGACCGAUAGCGAACAAGUACAGUGAUGGAAAGAUGAAAAGAACUUUGAAAAGAGAGUGAAAAAGUACGUGAAAUUGUUGAAAGGGAAGGGUUUGAGAUCAGACUCGAUAUUUUGUGAGCCUUGCCUUCGUGGCGGGGUGACCCGCAGCUUAUCGGGCCAGCAUCGGUUUGGGCGGUAGGAUAAUGGCGUAGGAAUGUGACUUUGCUUCGGUGAAGUGUUAUAGCCUGCGUUGAUGCUGCCUGCCUAGACCGAGGACUGCGAUUUUAUCAAGGAUGCUGGCAUAAUGAU
RNAcentral lists this ribosomal RNA (532 nucleotides) under Pichia sp. CC-88204. RNAcentral's name for it is "eukaryotic LSU rRNA". It matches the Rfam family "Eukaryotic large subunit ribosomal RNA", at positions 90 to 638 of the family's 3401-position model. Lineage: Eukaryota; Fungi; Ascomycota; Pichiomycetes; Pichiales; Pichiaceae. The record is from RNAcentral.